CAGUCGCCACGGUAAUACGUAGGGUGCAAGCGUUAAUCGGAAUUACUGGGCGUAAAGCGUGCGCAGGCGGUUUGUUAAGACAGAUGUGAAAUCCCCGGGCUCAACCUGGGAACUGCAUUUGUGACUGGCAAGCUAGAGUGUGGCAGAGGGGGGUGGAAUUCCGCGUGUAGCAGUGAAAUGCGUAGAUAUGCGGAGGAACACCGAUGGCGAAGGCAGCCCCCUGGGCCAACACUGACGCUCAUGUACGAAAGCGUGGGGAGCAAACAGGAUUAGAUACCCGGUAGUCCCUGUCUCUUAUACA
RNAcentral lists this ribosomal RNA (301 nucleotides) under uncultured bacterium. RNAcentral describes it as "partial 16S ribosomal RNA". It matches the Rfam family "Bacterial small subunit ribosomal RNA", at positions 509 to 808 of the family's 1533-position model. The record is from RNAcentral.